This is a microRNA precursor of Procavia capensis (Cape rock hyrax), 104 nucleotides long. Ensembl annotates it as microRNA 431. Its record names the gene MIR431. The record is from Ensembl. NCBI's taxonomy places the organism in Eukaryota, Metazoa, Chordata, Mammalia, Hyracoidea, Procaviidae.
UCAUGAUCGUCCUGCGGGGUGUCUUGCAGGCCGUCAUGCAGGCCACCCUGACGGUAACGUUGCAGGUCGCCCUGCUGGGCUUCUCGCAAGACGACAUUCUCAUC